GGGGAAUAUUGCACAAUGGGCGCAAGCCUGAUGCAGCGACGCCGCGUGAGGGAUGACGGCCUUCGGGUUGUAAACCUCUGUUAGCAGGGAAGAAGAGAGAUUGACGGUACCUGCAGAGAAAGCGCCGGCUAACUACGUGCCAGCAGCCGCGGUAAUACGUAGGGCGCGAGCGUUGUCCGGAAUUAUUGGGCGUAAAGAGCUUGUAGGCGGUUUGUCGCGUCUGCUGUGAAAGGCCGGGGCUUAACUCCGUGUAUUGCAGUGGGUACGGGCAGACUAGAGUGCAGUAGGGGAGACUGGAAUUCCUGGUGUAGCGGUGGAAUGCGCAGAUAUCAGGAGGAACACCGAUGGCGAAGGCAGGUCUCUGGGCUGUAACUGACGCUGAGAAGCGAAAGCAUGGGGAGCGAACAGGAUUAGAUACCCUGGUAGUCCAUGCCGUAAACGUUGGGCACUAGGUGUGGGGGACAUUCCACGUUUUCCGCGCCGUAGCUAACGCAUUAAGUGCCCCGCCUGGGGAGUACGGCCGCAAGGCUAAAACUCAAAGAAAUUGACGGGGGCCCGCACAAGCGGCGGAGCAUGCGGAUUAAUUCGAUGCAACGCGAAGAACCUUACCAAGGCUUGACAUAUACUGGACCGCAUCAGAGAUGGUGUUUCCCUUCGGGGCUGGUAUACAGGUGGUGCAUGGUUGUCGUCAGCUCGUGUCGUGAGAUGUUGGGUUAAGUCCCGCAACGAGCGCAACCCUUACUGUCAGUUACUACGCAAGAGGACUCUGGCAGGACUGCCGUUGACAAAACGGAGGAAGGUGGGGAUGACGUCAAAUCAUCAUGCCCUUUAUGACUUGGGCUACACACGUACUACAAUGGCGUUAAACAAAGAGAAGCAAGACCGCGAGGUGGAGCAAAACUCAGAAACAACGUCCCAGUUCGGACUGCAGGCUGCAACUCGACUGCACGAAGCUGGAAUCGCUAGUAAUCGCGAAUCAGAAUGUCGCGGUGAAUACGUUCCCG
RNAcentral lists this ribosomal RNA (1004 nucleotides) under uncultured bacterium. RNAcentral describes it as "bacterial SSU rRNA". It matches the Rfam family "Bacterial small subunit ribosomal RNA", at positions 356 to 1376 of the family's 1533-position model. The record is from RNAcentral.